UACGAAGGGGGCUAGCGUUGUUCGGAAUUACUGGGCGUAAAGGGCGCGUAGGCGGCCUAAUAAGUCAGAUGUGAAAGCCCCGAGCUUAACUUGGGAACUGCAUUUGAUACUGAUAGGCUAGAGAGUGAGAGAGGAAAGUGGAAUUGCGAGUGUAGAGGUGAAAUUCGUAGAUAUUCGCAAGAACACCAGUGGCGAAGGCGGCUUUCUGGCUCACAACUGACGCUAAGGCGCGAAAGCGUGGGGAGCAAACAGG
Molecule: ribosomal RNA, 253 nt
Filed under: uncultured bacterium
Lineage: Bacteria
Description: partial 16S ribosomal RNA
Rfam family: Bacterial small subunit ribosomal RNA
Source: RNAcentral